Molecule: ribosomal RNA, 381 nt
Filed under: uncultured bacterium
Lineage: Bacteria
Description: bacterial SSU rRNA
Rfam family: Bacterial small subunit ribosomal RNA
Source: RNAcentral
AUUGAACGCUGGCGGCAUGCCUUACACAUGCAAGUCGAACGGCAGCGGACCUUCGGGUGCCGGCGAGUGGCGAACGGGUGAGUAAUGCAUCGGAACGUGCCAUUGAGUGGGGGAUAACGUAGCGAAAGUUGCGCUAAUACCGCAUAUUCUGUGAGCAGGAAAGCAGGGGACCGCAAGGCCUUGCGCUCUUUGAGCGGCCGAUGUCAGAUUAGCUAGUUGGUGAGGUAACGGCUUACCAAGGCGACGAUCUGUAGCGGGUCUGAGAGGAUGAUCCGCCACACUGGAACUGAGACACGGUCCAGACUCCUACGGGAGGCAGCAGUGGGGAAUUUUGGACAAUGGGGGGCAACCCUGAUCCAGCCAUGCCGCGUGAGUGAAGAA